CUUACUGUUUCCUCUGGAUUCUUCAUCUCGGGGCAAGAUACCUCUGUCUUCCCGGUCAGUGAAGCUGGAAAUUUCAGACCGCUCCAGCUGCAUACCAAAACUGAGAACUGGUUGCACGUACCUCCCAUCCCCAGCUGGACUCCUCUAGCUAGAUUGUAAGCUCUUUGAGAGCAGGGACAGUUUCCAAAUCAUCUCUACCUUGUUUGUUGGAUGAAGAAAACAAUGAGGACUUACUGUGAGGAAACAUCUAGCUUCAGCACCAGUGGUUGUCCGGAGUCUCAAGAAUGGUCCUUGCCUUCUUUGCAAACCCUGCUCAUCUAGAACCCUGCUCGGAUCCAAUUCAGCUAUAGUAAUGUUCUGCAGAGUAUAUGAGUCUCCGCGCUGAAGAUGAUUGAAUCAGAAGUGGACAAUGGCCCAACCUCAACCUCCUCUCCUCUUUGGGAAAUACCUAAGCUGCGGUUGUGUCUAGAACCGCGAUCCCUUGCCAGCUGUCUUCUUCCUCUUCCGCUCAAGAGGAAGCUGCCUUUUUCCAGGUUAAGUGGAGAAUAUGUUCUCAAGGGAAAUGCUUUGCUGUCAGCCCAUAGGGUCAGGCUUCUGACAGAUUAUGUGGCCGAUUUGUCACUCACUGCCAAGAUUUUAAAAGUGUCUAUCGCAGAGUAUGCUUUGCACAUCUGUUGUAUUAUAAGCACAGUGUUAGCUCUCUCCGAAGCUGUCAAGAUAGGAGGAUGUUGCUAUGUUCUCUGAAACAGCCCCUCUGGGUGAUUUUUAAAUGGCAGAGUGUUGGGAUUCUGAAAUGAGGUGAGAUCCCAGAAGAACUAACAAAAACAUUGAAUGAAUAAGUCUGUCCUCCAACAUUAGCUGAGUGUUCAGUGUGCCCAGCAUUCUAGCAAUAGAGUCCAUGUCUAUUACAUCAUAAAUAUUAUGUCCAAGUCCCUUUAAAAUUGCUUUAACGUCUUAAACUAGUAACGGAAAGUAAAUGGGUAAAAAUGGUGGUAUGUUUCUGAUGAGACUUCUAGGCAUGUUUGUAAAAUGAGUUUAGGUGCCUGAAGGAAUAAAUAUUUAAAGUAU
Long non-coding RNA from Mustela lutreola (European mink), 1068 nucleotides. RefSeq lists it as uncharacterized. The transcript has 3 exons. The record is from RefSeq and is a predicted model, not a curated record. NCBI's taxonomy places the organism in Eukaryota, Metazoa, Chordata, Mammalia, Carnivora, Mustelidae.